Hylaeus volcanicus is the source of this 3914-nucleotide long non-coding RNA. RefSeq lists it as uncharacterized. The transcript has 6 exons. The record is from RefSeq and is a predicted model, not a curated record. NCBI's taxonomy places the organism in Eukaryota, Metazoa, Arthropoda, Insecta, Hymenoptera, Colletidae.
GUAUCGUGACAUGAUAUUACGAUAUCGCUGUUGUACGUAUACCGAUUUGAUUGAUUUUGGUAUUAUUCGAAAGCUUAUAUGCGAUUUACAUAAGAAAAAUGCGUUUAAAUUUAGAAAAUAUUGCAGGCGUGAUGAGAUAUUAAUGAAAGAAGUUUCAAGUUAGGUUAGAAAAUGGACCAUCUCUCCUGUAAAAGAUAUAUAAGCGGUAGCGCCACGUUAUACAGGGUGGCUGUAUAAUUUUUCAUGAACUUGGCGUCGAGACGCUACCGCGUCUCUAGAUAUAAACAUAACAUUUAUACACUACAUGUAAAUGAGAAGACCUCCAACAUUUAAUGUAUAUACAAUGUUAUAUAAUUUGGUUAAUAUAGAUAUCCGUGCUCACCGUUGGAUGCCAGGACAAUGUGGGAUUUCAGGACAGUGUGGGACUGAAGGACAACGUGGGACUGAAGAACAGCGUGGGACUCAAGGGUUUCAUUGACUCCGGUGCCUAUAAUGUGCUUCCUGGUUCAUCCAGAGAUUGUGCUGUCCAAAGGGGUCGACUCUAAGCAGCCAGCAGGAAAUGCUUUAAAGAAAACAUAAAAAGAAUCAUCAAAAAACGCUGUUCAAAGCUGUGGCAACAGUUUUGAGAACAGCUAGGCAGUUCAGGCGCCGGAGGUCAUGGUGAGACAACGCAUCGAGAAGAUUGAGCAUCUCGUGCAGACCGGUGUGUGUCAGGUUUUAGAAAGCCUGCCAACACCCCUGAACGCGAUGCUCUCUGCCCAGAUGCACAACGAGGGAAAAGCAAAAUCGGCGCGACGAUUCUCCGACAAGGAGAAGCUAUUAGCUCAUGAGCUUUUUGAAAAGAAAGCCUGCGGAUAAGGAGCAUCCAAAGGUACUGCAAAAUUUGAUUUCAUAUGCUCCGAACAUGGAAAUGAUUUGACAUAACUGUAUCAUAUAUGUUGUCGAAACAUAUGUACGCAGAGUGAAUCGCAUUAUAAGUGGAUUCGAACAGAGAAUGGACUUGGAUUCACUUCUAACGCGACCUAUCGAGAUGCGCGAGGGUAAAACUGACCGCUUGCAGAUGUUAGGUUGUAAGGUAAUUAACAUCUACCAUGCAAAGUUACGAGUAAGAAGUUGUGCGCAAGGGCUACAGUCAAUGGGCAAUAACAGUGGGGAAAGGCGCGAAUUGAAAUUUUGGACGGUUUGCCGAACUACUCUUCAACCAUUGGUCAGAGCUGCAGUCAGCUGUCAUCGAGUUUGAAUUUUUGUUAUAGUUUUCGAAUUUGACGCAUGCGCUUUAGCGUCAUGUCUUAUUUUUGGUAUGAAGAUGUUGGUUAUGCUUUGCUCAGUGUAUAAAGAGUAGGCUUGAGCAGUCCAUGUAUACAUAUAUGGUCGAAGUAUAUAUCGUAGUCUCUGUGCGCACUAGCGUCGCGAGUGGACGAAAUAUUCAUAACUUAAAGCUUAGGAUUUUGAUAUGUUGCGUACCGCUACUUUUGAUAGAAGUAAAUUAAUUCCCAAGUCACUUCUAGAUGGCAGAGCGGAGACCCGUUUGCCCGUUGUUAUGGAAUGUGAAUGAGCCUUUGCGUUUGGUAGUUUUGUUUGAAGUUAGUUUAGCGCCAAUUACGAUUUUCUUGUAUUUAUGGUAUUUCGUUUUCUUUUUGAUUGCAUUUUAUUUUAAAACAAUUUGUUAAUACUCACUCGCAUAGCGGCCGUUAACCAGUAUAGACGUCUAUUGUAAAAGCUUGUAUUUAAAGUAAAGAAAUUUAACGUUUGUGUUAAAUUAGUUAUAUUCAAACUGUUACAAUAAAGUUAAUAUUACAUUUCUUAAUUUAUCUUAAAUUAACUUAUUCCUGGCUAAGUCGCACGCAGUUUUAAUAAUCUUGUCACGUGCAGCGUGAACGCCAGUAAAACCCUAAGUCCUUAAAAAUAAAACCGUACGGACUCGCAACAAAAUUGGUGACAGCGGUGGGAUCUUUCCAACAUUAAAUAAUUUUAUUAACUCAGGGCAUUAGAAUCAGGAGCAAGGGCAAAUGCUGGAGAAGGUGAUCUCGACGACCGUGCUUGUUAAUAAUCGUUGAUCACAUGCACCUUGCCGACGGGUCUUCCUGCUGUACCGGAUUGAGGGACGAUCAUCGCUGGACGAGGAAUCAGGAAAAGGAUAGCUAGACGAGGACUCAGGAGAAGGAUCGCCUUAUCUGUAUGGGCGCGCGAACUUCGUGCGCGGGGUGGCGUGUGGGGGUGCCGCGAGCGCGGCUAUUCGACGUGCGCUGGGAUUUACUGCACGAGAAUGGAUACUCUCCGUGCGAGUGAAUUUAGGCAGGAGACAACAGCCCGAGAAUGGAUACUCUCCGUGCACUUGGAGCGGAAGGAGACAAGCACACGAGAACGGAUACUCUCCGUGCGCUCGGACCGGGCUGGAAUCACUGCACGAAAAUGGACACUCUCCGUGCAGCUGAAUUUCGGCAGGACACAAGCGCACGAGAACGGAUACUCUCCGUGCGAGUGGAUUUUCGGUCGGAGACAAGAGCACGAGAACGGAUACUCUCCGUGUGCUUGGUUUUCGGUAGGAAAUCACUGCACGAGAACGGAUACUCUCCGUGCAGAUGAAAUCGGUAGAAGACAAGUGCACGAGAUUGGAUACUCUCCGUGCGCUUAGAUCGGGGGGAAGCAGACUUCGUGCGAGAUACUCGACUUCGUCGUCUGUGCGGCUCGAUACCGCGGGGAUUUCUGGUUCCCGUUUUCGGAGUCCCACCUUAUAUACUAAUUUUGGCCGCUUUGCCGAACUUGUGUAUGUUUGUCGGUGAGGCGCAUUCGCUGUGUUAUUAUUUCGACGUGUCGAACAGCUGUGUUUACUUCGCGCGCGGUAUGUUUUUGUCGCUGGCGUCUGGCGGUUACGCUGCGUGAGAACGCGAUUCCCACGGUUGGCGAUGCGAUACAUGUUUCGAAAGAUUCGUGACGCGAGGCGUCACAAGUUUAUUCGUUUUUUUCUGUUCUUCUCAUUAAUAUAGGGUUUCUUCCUAGCAAUCCUACCGUGAUAGCCAUGUUCUCUCAACGUGCGGUGAAAUGUUUCAGCUGAAACCUGUUUAUUACUUUCUUCAAAAACCUCACUUGCUAAACGAGGUGCACUUAAACGCGGAUUUUCAUUAAUUUUCCGCACAAUUCUCCUUUUUUAUCUCGGGUUUAAAAUAGGUGGACGACCAGUUUGUGGGACAAAUUCAAUACGAUUCUCACUAUUAAAUCUUCUGACUAUAUCCGCCACAGUACUUUUGCUCACACCGAGUAAGGAACUUAUGUCACGAUAUGAUCUUCCCUUUUCGCGGUGAAAUAUUAUGAGCUGGCGUAUAUCAAAGGAAGUGUUCUUGCCUCUCUGACCCAUCUUGACGGAUGUUAGAGUUGCUACUAAAUAAUUUUAAGACGGUAUCGACAGCUAAGGCUAUGCUUGUAAACAAACACUUACCAUUCUUUGAAACACCGCUUCCUAAGAAGUACGGAAUCGCGAAACGUAUUAAAUGUCCGAAUAUUUUUGUGAUCCGAAAAUGUGAUAUUCUUUCGUUCGUUUAUUGCUAUUAUGUAAUUUAUGUAAAUUUUUGGAUUAAUGUAUACAACUUUAAUAAUAUUAAUAAAUGACUUAUUAUUGGAAAAAGUAACGAAGACGAUUGCUUUUUUAAUAACUACGAUAUUAAGUCAUAAAGCUAACCGUACACUAGUGUCCGAAUAUUUCUGGGAGUCACUGAAUAUAAAAUUAUACAAGAACCCUUACACUCUAACAUAUUAUAAAAAUAAGAAAUAUAAAUGCAAAACUUACAACUAAAAAAUCAUCAAGGUAAUUUGAGUUUGUACUUUUUCUUAAUACUCUACUACUCUUUCUUUCCUAUAUAUAAUCUCCUUUUUAAUUCCCGUAGGCACACUUUAGUAGACGCUAUUCUAACUAAACU